GCAUCAGUGGUUCAGUGAUAGAAUUCUUGCCUUCUAUGCGGGAUACCUGGGCUCGAUUUCCAACUGAUACA
This 71-nucleotide transfer RNA is filed under the name Loxodonta africana (African savanna elephant). It matches the Rfam family "tRNA". Rfam says of the family: Transfer RNA (tRNA) molecules are approximately 80 nucleotides in length. Their secondary structure includes four short double-helical elements and three loops (D, anti-codon, and T loops). Further hydrogen bonds mediate the characteristic L-shaped molecular structure. tRNAs have two regions of fundamental functional importance: the anti-codon, which is responsible for specific mRNA codon recognition, and the 3' end, to which the tRNAs corresponding amino acid is attached (by aminoacyl-tRNA synthetases). tRNAs cope with the degeneracy of the genetic code in two manners: having more than one tRNA (with a specific anti-codon) for a particular amino acid; and 'wobble' base-pairing, i.e. permitting non-standard base-pairing at the 3rd anti-codon position. Lineage: Eukaryota; Metazoa; Chordata; Mammalia; Proboscidea; Elephantidae. The record is from Rfam by way of RNAcentral.